UACGGAGGAUGCGAGCGUUAUCCGGAUUUAUUGGGUUUAAAGGGUGCGUAGGCGGUUUUUAAGUUAGUGGUUAAACGUCGGGGCUUCACCUCACUACGCCAUUAAUACUGUAGAGCUAGAGAACAGACGAGGUAGGCGGAAUAAGUUAAGUAGCGGUGAAAUGCUUAGAUAUAACUUAGAACUCCGAUAGCGAAGGCAGCUUACCAGACUGCGACUGACGCUGAAGCACGAGAGCGUGGGUAGCGAACAGG
Molecule: ribosomal RNA, 251 nt
Filed under: uncultured Odoribacter sp.
Lineage: Bacteria; Pseudomonadati; Bacteroidota; Bacteroidia; Bacteroidales; Odoribacteraceae
Description: partial 16S ribosomal RNA
Rfam family: Bacterial small subunit ribosomal RNA
Source: RNAcentral